This 106-nucleotide ribosomal RNA is filed under the name Sinocyclocheilus anshuiensis. The record is from RNAcentral. Lineage: Eukaryota; Metazoa; Chordata; Actinopteri; Cypriniformes; Cyprinidae.
UACUGUAGUUAGUUACUGUACUGGUCUCCCACUGAAGCUAAGCAGGGCUGAGCCUGGUCAGUACCUGAAUGGGAGACCUCCUGGGAAAACUAGGUUGCUCCUGGAA